This 255-nucleotide ribosomal RNA is filed under the name uncultured bacterium. Its description in RNAcentral is "partial 16S ribosomal RNA". It matches the Rfam family "Bacterial small subunit ribosomal RNA", at positions 524 to 776 of the family's 1533-position model. The record is from RNAcentral.
CACGUAGGGCGCAAGCGUUGUCCGGAAUUAUUGGGCGUAAAGAGCUCGUAGGCGGUCUGUUGCGUCUGCUGUGAAAACUCGGGGCUUAACCCCGAGCCUGCAGUGGAUACGGGCAGACUAGAGGUAGGUAGGGGAGAAUGGAAUUCCCGGUGUAGCGGUGAAAUGCGCAGAUAUCGGGAGGAACACCGGUGGCGAAGGCGGUUCUCUGGGCCUUACCUGACGCUGAGGAGCGAAAGCGUGGGGGAGCGAAACAGG